AUAUCCCGAAAAGAAAAAAAAUGCCACGCCUUGUGAACCCUAAUGGAGGAGACGACAGACGAGGAUGGCUGAUGGCGCGGCGGCGGCGCCUUCCCCGACGACAACGGCGAGCCACCAUGUUCCCGGCGAUCUGGAUAAGAGAUGGCGAACCACCACGUUCCCGGCGAUCUGGAUGAGCACCAUGGUAUCGUUCGAUUUCGUCGCCAUCCGUCACACACCCAGAUGCUCUCAGAUCCGUUAAUCUCUUCUGGGGAAAAGAGAAGAAAGCGUGAAGGUUGACCUCUAAUAUUUGAACAUAUGGCUUUUGGUCAAAUGAUCUUCUGUAUGUCUUUCACGUACGCAGGACAAGCUUAGGCCGACCACUCUUCACUUCAACUGCAGCAUCCAUGGAUCCUGGAUAGAUUAGCAUGUUUCCUGUCCAUUUACUUCUAAACAUGGGAAUCUCAAGACGGAACGAAUGCGAGUAUGGCAGGUUGCGUCUGAACUUUGUAUGAUAGAGGAUUGAAUGGUAUUGUCCAGUUCUGCUCUACGCACGGACGGCUUAAUGUGAUGUGCUGUGCUAAAGAAUUUGUCAUGUGUAUAACAUUAUUCCUCUCAAAAUUCACGUCUUUGGUUUAUACCGUAAUAUGACAGCUGCCUCAAACAAACCAUGCAAGAAUUUGUGAGUUUAUGCUAUUUGACUACAAAUCUUACAUGAAUGCCAGCUAUUUCAACAUCAA
This is a long non-coding RNA of Triticum aestivum (bread wheat), 719 nucleotides long. RefSeq lists it as uncharacterized. Lineage: Eukaryota; Viridiplantae; Streptophyta; Magnoliopsida; Poales; Poaceae. The transcript has 3 exons. The record is from RefSeq and is a predicted model, not a curated record.